AAGUGUUUUCAAUAUGAGACACUUUGUGAUAUCAACCCACUUUCUUUUGGAGUCUUUUACUCUUUUACCCUCUAAUCAUAUUCUUUACUCUAAUAUUCUUCAUCCUCUCUUCUCACAUUCAUUUCUUUUGUUUCUCUCUCCCCGUAUCCUCUCAUUCUUUAUCCCUCUCUUCCCUUUUCUCUUUCUUUCCAAAUUCUAAUCCAUCAAUUUAAUUUCAGAUUCGCUUUUCUUUUUUUAACUGUGUUUUUUACAUCCAAGAAUGGAAAAAAAGAAAAUUCUCCACUUCCUCUAAAUUUGGUCUUUCUGAUUGUGGAACUUGUGGUCGUGUGUGUGUUUAUCUACUAGUCUUUCAUCGAUUUGAUCUUUGAAAUCAGACGUGGAUAGAGGCCCUAAUCCCAUAUGUCUCCCUUCUCAUGAGCAAUCCAUCUCCAGAUUCAUAUAACUAUAUUUCUCUAUCUCUUAAUUUUCGAUAUAAUUCUUUUGGAACCUUAAUUCAUUGUUUUCUUUUCUAAACUAGAGUUUGGUAGAAUGAGUAAUGUGAAAUUUUGUGGUUUUUGGGUGUUUUGCUGUUGUAGUUUCAAUUCAAAUUCAAUCUUUUUGGGUCCAAAUGUGUCUAACUAAAUGAAUCAGUCCAUUUGUGAACGAAACAAUCAAGUAAUGCUCGUUGAUUUGAUGAAGAGUCAAAAAGUGAAUUUGGUGAGAUUAGAUCAGUUAUUUAGAACUUUCUUGUGUCCAUUUAGCAGCGAACACAUGUACGAAGCAAAGUCGUCCAUCUCAACUGGAACAUCUACGUGAAUUGUUGAGAGUCACGACUUUUAAAAGUUGAAGUUUCAUGGUCGGAUUGAUUGGCUUGCAGGUUUUGAAUCAAGAUUGUUGACGAAGAUUUUGUGUCCAUUUAGUAGCGAACAAGGAGUUAAAGUAAGUCGAUUUGCAAUGGAUGCGAUACCGUGGUUGAGAUGCGGUGGCUACGAUGCGGUGACUAUGACGCGGUGGUUACGAUGCAACUUCAAACACAAUAGUUGCAAACAGAGACUUUGUGUUGACGAUUAUCUUUCAUAUAUAAAGUUGUGAAUUGAUAUAAAAAUCAUGUGUAUGAUUAUAAAAGGAUGAAAAAAAUUAUGUGUGAUAAUAUAGGAUUUAGGGUUUAGGUUUUAGUAUGCUGAAGUUUCACUUACCCUUAGAGAAAAUCAAUCAAAUAGUAAAAUGGUCAAAUGGUCGUGGACAUUGUAUAUAAAAACUUGAGAUAUAUUAAUGUUAACCAUGUGUUCAAUGUUGAAUGGUUAGAUAAACAAAAAAAUAUGUCUAAUAAUAAAAUAUGAACAAUAGACAUUUGAUCAGAGUUUAACGGAUGUAUAGUUUAUCGAGAAACUUUAGUCUUAUUCAUCUAUGUGAUCAGAGUUUAGCUGAUAUGUUUGGAUGAUCGGUAGUUAUAAAUGUUGGUGUAAUAUGUUUGUUCAAAUAUCUAUAGAUAUUGUCUGUUUGGAUGAGUUUGUAUGUGUGUCUGUUUACAAAAACAGAAUUCAUAUGUUCAAAUGUUCGAAGGCGUUUUAUAUUAUGCUUGAGAUAAAUUAAUGUUAACCAUGUGUUCAGUGUUGG
This 1596-nucleotide long non-coding RNA is filed under the name Arabidopsis lyrata. RNAcentral's name for it is "long non-coding RNA (ALYR_LNC002387)". The record is from RNAcentral. Lineage: Eukaryota; Viridiplantae; Streptophyta; Magnoliopsida; Brassicales; Brassicaceae.